This 253-nucleotide ribosomal RNA is filed under the name uncultured bacterium. RNAcentral describes it as "partial 16S ribosomal RNA". It matches the Rfam family "Bacterial small subunit ribosomal RNA", at positions 524 to 776 of the family's 1533-position model. The record is from RNAcentral.
UACAGAGGGGGCAAGCGUUGUUCGGAAUUACUGGGCGUAAAGGGCGCGUAGGCGGCCUUCUAAGUCGAACGUGAAAUCCCUGGGCUCAACCCAGGAACUGCGUCCGAGACUGGUGGGCUCGAAUCCGGGAGAGGGAUGUGGAAUUCCAGGUGUAGCGGUGAAAUGCGUAGAUAUCUGGAGGAACACCGGUGGCGAAGGCGACAUCCUGGACCGGUAUUGACGCUGAGGCGCGAAAGCCAGGGGAGCAAACGGG